CCUACGGGCGGCAGCAGUGAGGAAUAUUGGUCAAUGGCCGGAAGGCUGAACCAGCCAAGUAGCGUGCAGGAUGACGGCCCUACGGGUUGUAAACUGCUUUUAUACGGGAAUAACGCGCCUUACGUGUAGGGCUUUGCAUGUACCGUCUGAAUAAGGACCGGCUAAUUCCGUGCCAGCAGCCGCGGUAAUACGGAAGGUCCGGGCGUUAUCCGGAUUUAUUGGGUUUAAAGGGAGCGUAGGCCGCAUGUCAAGCGUGCUGUGAAAUGUCCGGGCUCAACCCGGGCCUUGCAGCGCGAACUGGCGUGCUUGAGUCCGCGGAAAGCAGGCGGAAUUCGUCGUGUAGCGGUGAAAUGCUUAGAUAUGACGAAGAACCCCGAUUGCGAAGGCAGCUUGCUGCAGCGGAACUGACGCUGAUGCUCGAAAGCGCGGGUAUCGAACAGGAUUAGAUACCCCAGUAGUC
RNAcentral lists this ribosomal RNA (460 nucleotides) under uncultured bacterium. RNAcentral describes it as "partial 16S ribosomal RNA". It matches the Rfam family "Bacterial small subunit ribosomal RNA", at positions 338 to 795 of the family's 1533-position model. The record is from RNAcentral.